Molecule: ribosomal RNA, 253 nt
Filed under: uncultured bacterium
Lineage: Bacteria
Description: partial 16S ribosomal RNA
Rfam family: Bacterial small subunit ribosomal RNA
Source: RNAcentral
GACAGAGGGUGCAAACGUUGUUCGGAAUUACUGGGCGUAAAGCGCGUGUAGGCAGCUGAGCAAGUCGGAUGUGAAAGCCCUGGGCUCAACCUAGGAAGUGCAUUCGAAACUGCUGAGCUUGAGUUCUGGAGAGGAAGGCGGAAUUCUCGGUGUAGCGGUGAAAUGCGUAGAUAUCGAGAGGAACACCUGCGGCGAAGGCGGGUUGCUGGGCUGAUACUGACGCUGAGGCGCGAAAGCCAGGGGAGCGAACGGG